This 465-nucleotide ribosomal RNA is filed under the name uncultured bacterium. RNAcentral's name for it is "partial 16S ribosomal RNA". It matches the Rfam family "Bacterial small subunit ribosomal RNA", at positions 338 to 795 of the family's 1533-position model. The record is from RNAcentral.
CCUACGGGAGGCAGCAGUGGGGAAUAUUGCGCAAUGGGCGAAAGCCUGACGCAGCGACGCCGCGUGAGGGAUGAAGGUCUUCGGAUCGUAAACCUCUGUCAGCAGGGAAGAACGGUCACUGUGCUAAUCAGCAGUGAAUUGACGGUACCUGCAAAGGAAGCACCGGCUAACUCCGUGCCAGCAGCCGCGGUAAUACGGAGGGUGCGAGCGUUAAUCGGAAUUACUGGGCGUAAAGCGCUCGUAGGCGGUAUGUCAAGUCAAGGGUGAAAUCCCCGCGCUCAACGUGGGAACUGCCUUUGAAACUGACAAACUGGAGUGUGUGAGAGGAUAGUGGAAUUCCAGGUGUAGGAGUGAAAUCCGUAGAUAUCUGGAGGAACAUCAGUGGCGAAGGCGACUAUCUGGAACAUAACUGACGCUGAGGAGCGAAAGCGUGGGUAGCAAACAGGAUUAUAUACCCCAGUAGUC